This 207-nucleotide ribosomal RNA is filed under the name uncultured Desulfovibrio sp. RNAcentral describes it as "partial 16S ribosomal RNA". It matches the Rfam family "Bacterial small subunit ribosomal RNA", at positions 568 to 774 of the family's 1533-position model. The record is from RNAcentral. Lineage: Bacteria; Pseudomonadati; Thermodesulfobacteriota; Desulfovibrionia; Desulfovibrionales; Desulfovibrionaceae.
CACGUAGGCUAUAGUGUAAGUCAGGGGUGAAAUCCCACGGCUCAACCGUGGAACUGCCUUUGAUACUGCACAACUUGAAUCCGGGAGAGGGUGGCGGAAUUCCAGGUGUAGGAGUGAAAUCCGUAGAUAUCUGGAGGAACAUCAGUGGCGAAGGCGGCCACCUGGACCGGUAUUGACGCUGAGGUGCGAAAGCGUGGGGAGCAAACA